GACGAACGCUGGCGGCGUGCCUAAUACAUGCAAGUUGAGCGCUGAAGGUUGGUACUUGUACCAACUGGAUGAGCAGCGAACGGGUGAGUAACGCGUGGGGAAUCUGCCUUUGAGCGGGGGACAACAUUUGGAAACGAAUGCUAAUACCGCAUAAAAACUUUAAACACAAGUUUUAAGUUUGAAAGAUGCAAUUGCAUCACUCAAAGAUGAUCCCGCGUUGUAUUAGCUAGUUGGUGAGGUAAAGGCUCACCAAGGCGAUGAUACAUAGCCGACCUGAGAGGUGACGGCCCAAAUGGGGACCGAGACCCGCCCCAAACCCCCACGGGGGGCACCGGAAGGGAAUUUUCGGCAAGGGACGAAAGUCUGACCGGACACCCCGGGGUGGGGAAAGAAGGUUUUCGGAUCGAAAAACUCUUUUGGAAGGAAAGAAGGUUGGGGAGGGUGGAAAGCCCAUAAAGGGACGGAAACUACCAAAAAAGGGGCGGCUAACUACGU
Molecule: ribosomal RNA, 495 nt
Filed under: uncultured bacterium
Lineage: Bacteria
Description: partial 16S ribosomal RNA
Rfam family: Bacterial small subunit ribosomal RNA
Source: RNAcentral